UUAAACAAAAACAAAAUAAUUGGACGUAUGAAAGGAUCAAGAAAGGUAGAUGUUCAACAUGAUUUUGCAUGUUCCCAUUCAAAAUGUUAGUAUAACAACAACCAAGAAGUGUAUAGUGACAGUUUCUCACAUAAUCCGACUUUUUGGUAAACAAUUAAGUGUUCCAUUACAUUUUUUCGUUGUAUGAGUUCAGACAAGGGAAUAUAUGGUUGAAUUCGCUAGGUUUUCCAUCUAGAUAAUGCAAAUCAACAAGUUAGCUGGAAAAACUGACACAAGUUCUUCUAUCUAGUAUCUACUAUUAUUGAAGUGCACAUUGACCCAGCAAGUCAAAAUUUGGACAUACCAUGAUAACAAAGCAACCAGACAAGUCUGCAAGCCAUGUAACCACAAGAAUGUUAAGGUCAGCCAUCUUUAUGAAACAAUAUACCUUCUGCAGUAAAAAAGUUCUUGCAAAAGAGAAAGAACACUGAAACGCAAUAUUUCAAAGUGAAAAAAGGAUUAUGAAACGAAUACAGAAAUAAAUACUUGUGCUAACCUCAACACCACCAAUGCAGAAGAGAACUACCAAAACCUCGAUAAACCAGAAUGACAUGAGUUUGUAUAGCAUAACUAAGAAACAUGAAGCCACCACAACAAACAGAACUGCAGAGGUGACGUUAAUGUUAACUAUGCUGCUAGCACAA
Molecule: long non-coding RNA, 683 nt
Filed under: Linum usitatissimum (flax)
Lineage: Eukaryota; Viridiplantae; Streptophyta; Magnoliopsida; Malpighiales; Linaceae
Description: long non-coding RNA (LUSI_LNC002442)
Source: RNAcentral